UAGGGAAUCUUCGGCAAUGGACGAAAGUCUGACCGAGCAACGCCGCGUGAGUGAAGAAGGUUUUCGGAUCGUAAAACUCUGUUGUUAGAGAAGAACAAGGACGUUAGUAACUGAACGUCCCCUGACGGUAUCUAACCAGAAAGCCACGGCUAACUACGUGCCAGCAGCCGCGGUAAUACGUAGGUGGCAAGCGUUGUCCGGAUUUAUUGGGCGUAAAGCGAGCGCAGGCGGUUUCUUAAGUCUGAUGUGAAAGCCCCCGACUCAACCGGGGAGGGUCAUUGGAAACUGGGAGACUUGAGUGAAGAAGAGGAGAGUGGAAUUCCAUGUGUAGCGGUGAAAUGCGUAGAUAUAUGGAGGAACUCCAGUGGCGAAGGCGGCUCUCUGGUCUGUAACUGACGCUGAGGCUCGAAAGCGUGGGGAGCAAACAGG
Molecule: ribosomal RNA, 429 nt
Filed under: Gemmatimonadota bacterium
Lineage: Bacteria; Pseudomonadati; Gemmatimonadota
Description: Gemmatimonadetes bacterium partial 16S ribosomal RNA
Rfam family: Bacterial small subunit ribosomal RNA
Source: RNAcentral